This 275-nucleotide ribosomal RNA is filed under the name uncultured prokaryote. RNAcentral's name for it is "partial 16S ribosomal RNA". It matches the Rfam family "Bacterial small subunit ribosomal RNA", at positions 524 to 798 of the family's 1533-position model. The record is from RNAcentral.
UACGGAGGAUCCGAGCGUUAUCCGGAUUUAUUGGGUUUAAAGGGUGCGCAGGCGGGGGAUUAAGUCGGCGGUGAAAUUUUGCAGCUCAACUGUAAAAGUGCCUUCGAAACUGGUUUCCUUGAGUGUAGAUGAAGUAGGCGGAAUUUGUGGUGUAGCGGUGAAAUGCUUAGAUAUCACGAGGAACUCCGAUUGCACAGGCAGCUUACUAAACUACUACUGACGCUCAUGCACGAAGGCGUGGGGAUCAAACAGGAUUAGAUACCCCUGUAGUCCCU